RNAcentral lists this non-coding RNA (209 nucleotides) under Kosakonia sp. AG348. RNAcentral describes it as "GcvB RNA". It matches the Rfam family "GcvB RNA". Rfam says of the family: The gcvB gene encodes a small untranslated RNA involved in expression of the dipeptide and oligopeptide transport systems in Escherichia coli. The record is from RNAcentral. Lineage: Bacteria; Pseudomonadati; Pseudomonadota; Gammaproteobacteria; Enterobacterales; Enterobacteriaceae.
ACCUCCUGAGCCGGAACGAGAAGCUUUUUUUGGAAUGUGUGUUCUGAAAGGCUUUUGGCUUACGGUUGUGAUGUUGUGUUGUUGUGUUUGCAAUUUGGUCUGCUAUUCAGACCCCGGUAGCGACGCUACCCCUUUUUCACUUCCUGUACAUUUACCCUGUCUGUCCAUAGUGAUUAAUGUAGCACCGCAAGAUUGCGGUGCUUUUUUUU